Molecule: transfer RNA, 64 nt
Filed under: bovine gut metagenome
Also listed under: 1 other name
Rfam family: tRNA
About the family: Transfer RNA (tRNA) molecules are approximately 80 nucleotides in length.
Source: RNAcentral
UCGGUAGCUCAGUUGGAUAGAGCAACAGCCUUCUAAGCUGUGGGUCCCGGGUUCGAAUCCCGGC